Molecule: ribosomal RNA, 738 nt
Filed under: uncultured bacterium
Lineage: Bacteria
Description: bacterial SSU rRNA
Rfam family: Bacterial small subunit ribosomal RNA
Source: RNAcentral
ACAAUUCGGCGGCACGCUUAACACAUGCAAGUCGAACGCACCUUUCGGGGUGAGUGGCAGACGGGUGAGUAACGCGUGGGAACAUGCCCUUCAGUUCGGAAUAACCCAGGGAAACUUGGGCUAAUACCGGAUACGCCCUAACGGGGAAAGAUUUAUUGCUGAAGGAUUGGCCCGCGUCUGAUUAGCUAGUUGGUGAGGUAAAGGCUCACCAAGGCGACGAUCAGUAGCUGGUCUGAGAGGAUGAUCAGCCACACUGGGACUGAGACACGGCCCAGACUCCUACGGGAGGCAGCAGUGGGGAAUAUUGGACAAUGGGCGCAAGCCUGAUCCAGCCAUGCCGCGUGAGUGAUGAAGGCCUUAGGGUUGUAAAGCUCUUUCGGCGGGGACGAUAAUGACGGUACCCGCAGAAGAAGCCCCGGCUAACUUCGUGCCAGCAGCCGCGGUAAUACGAAGGGGGCUAGCGUUGUUCGGAAUCACUGGGCGUAAAGGGCGCGUAGGCGGCUUUAUAAGUCGGGGGUGAAAGCCUGUGGCUCAACCACAGAAUUGCCUUCGAUACUGUAGAGCUUGAGACCGGAAGAGUAAGUGGAACUGCGAGUGUAGAGUGAAAUUCGUAGAUAUUCGCAAGAACACCAGUGGCGAAGGCGACUUACUGGUCCGGUUCUGACGCUAAGGCCGAAAGCCUUGGGAACAAACAGGAUUAGAUACCCUGGUAGUCCACGCUGUAAACGAAGAAUGCCA